This is a non-coding RNA of Podarcis lilfordi (Lilford's wall lizard), 113 nucleotides long. NCBI's taxonomy places the organism in Eukaryota, Metazoa, Chordata, Lepidosauria, Squamata, Lacertidae. The record is from the annotation of a GenBank genome assembly.
AACCAAGUUUGUUCUGGGUAUAAGCUAUUGUGUGCAUGCAGACUUCUUCAGAUACCAGAUACCUGAAGAAGUGCAUGCACAUGAAAGCUUAUACCCAGAACAAACUUGGUUGG